UACGUAGGGAGCAAGCGUUGUUCGGAUUUACUGGGCGUCAAGGGCGCGUAGGCGGCGCGGUAAGUCACUUGUGAAAUCUCUGAGCUUAACUCAGAACGGCCAAGUGAUACUGCAGUGCUAGAGUGCAGAAGGGGCAAUCGGAAUUCUUGGUGUAGCGGUGAAAUGCGUAGAUAUCAAGAGGAACACCUGAGGUGAAGACGGGUUGCUAGGCUGACACUGACGCUGAGGCGCGAAAGCCAGGGGAGCAAACGGG
RNAcentral lists this ribosomal RNA (253 nucleotides) under uncultured bacterium. RNAcentral describes it as "partial 16S ribosomal RNA". It matches the Rfam family "Bacterial small subunit ribosomal RNA", at positions 524 to 776 of the family's 1533-position model. The record is from RNAcentral.